Molecule: non-coding RNA, 22 nt
Filed under: Arabidopsis thaliana (thale cress)
Lineage: Eukaryota; Viridiplantae; Streptophyta; Magnoliopsida; Brassicales; Brassicaceae
Also listed under: 1 other name
Source: RNAcentral
GGUCUCCAAGGUGAACAGCCUC